GGGGGUAUCGUCUAAUGGCAGGGUGCGCGGCUCCAGCCCGCGAGAUGGGGGUUCAAUUCCUCCUAUCCCCA
This 71-nucleotide transfer RNA is filed under the name Nanobdellota archaeon. RNAcentral's name for it is "tRNA-Trp". It matches the Rfam family "tRNA". Rfam says of the family: Transfer RNA (tRNA) molecules are approximately 80 nucleotides in length. Their secondary structure includes four short double-helical elements and three loops (D, anti-codon, and T loops). Lineage: Archaea; Nanobdellati; Nanobdellota. The record is from RNAcentral.